AGCGGCGGACGGGUGAGUAACGCGUGGGUAACCUGCCCUAUACACAUGGAUAACAUACUGAAAAGUUUACUAAUACAUGAUAAUAUAUGUUUGCGGCAUCGCAGAUAUAUCAAAGUGUUAGCGGUAUAGGAUGGACCCGCGUCUGACUAGCUAGUUGGUGAGAUAACUGCCCACCAAGGCGACGAUCAGUAGCCGACCUGAGAGGGUGAUCGGCCACAUUGGAACUGAGACACGGUCCAAACUCCUACGGGAGGCAGCAGUGGGGAAUAUUGCACAAUGGGCGAAAGCCUGAUGCAGCAACGCCGCGUGAACGAUGAAGGUCUUCGGAUCGUAAAGUUCUGUUGCAGGGGAAGAUAAUGACGGUACCCUGUGAGGAAGCCCCGGCUAACUACGUGCCAGCAGCCGCGGUAAUACGUAGGGGGCUAGCGUUAUCCGGAUUUACUGGGCGUAAAGGGUGCGUAGGUGGUCCUUCAAGUCGGUGGUUAAAGGCUACGGCUCAACCGUAGUAAGCCGCCGAAACUGGAGGACUUGAGUGCAGGAGAGGAAAGUGGAAUUCCCAGUGUAGCGGUGAAAUGCGUAGAUAUUGGGAGGAACACCAGUAGCGAAGGCGGCUUUCUGGACUGCA
Molecule: ribosomal RNA, 625 nt
Filed under: uncultured Peptostreptococcaceae bacterium
Lineage: Bacteria; Bacillati; Bacillota; Clostridia; Peptostreptococcales; Peptostreptococcaceae
Description: bacterial SSU rRNA
Rfam family: Bacterial small subunit ribosomal RNA
Source: RNAcentral